This 184-nucleotide ribosomal RNA is filed under the name uncultured bacterium. RNAcentral's name for it is "partial 16S ribosomal RNA". It matches the Rfam family "Bacterial small subunit ribosomal RNA", at positions 355 to 529 of the family's 1533-position model. The record is from RNAcentral.
UGGGGAAUAUUGCGCAAUGGGCGAAAGCCUGACGCAGCGACGCCGCGUGAGGGAUGAAGGUCUUCGGAUCGUAAACCUCUGUCAGCAGGGAAGAACGGUCACUGUGCUAAUCAGCAGUGAAUUGACGGUACCUGCAAAGGAAGCACCGGCUAACUCCGUGCCAGCACCGCGGUAAUCACUCGCU